UAGUCAUAUGCUUGUCUUAAAGAUUAAUCCAUGCAUGUGUAAGUAUAAGUAUUGUACAGCGAAACUGCGAAUGGCUCAUUACAUCAGUUAUAAUUUAUUUGAUAAUCGAAAGUUACAUGGAUAACCGUGACAAAUUACAGCUAAUACAUGCAGUCAGACCUGGUCCAAGGGUCGUAAUUAUUAGUAUUAAACCAUUUCCGCAAGGAGUGUGAUGAAUCAUAAUAAUCGAACGAAUCGCCUGGUGUGCGAUAAAUCAUUCAAGUUUCUGCCCUAUCAG
This 277-nucleotide ribosomal RNA is filed under the name uncultured eukaryote. RNAcentral describes it as "partial 18S ribosomal RNA". It matches the Rfam family "Eukaryotic small subunit ribosomal RNA", at positions 21 to 318 of the family's 1831-position model. The record is from RNAcentral.